GGCCUAACACAUGCAAGUCGAGCGGAUGAAAGGAGCUUGCUCCUGGAUUCAGCGGCGGACGGGUGAGUAAUGCCUAGGAAUCUGCCUGGUAGUGGGGGACAACGUUUCGAAAGGAACGCUAAUACCGCAUACGUCCUACGGGAGAAAGCAGGGGACCUUCGGGCCUUGCGCUAUCAGAUGAGCCUAGGUCGGAUUAGCUAGUUGGUGAGGUAAUGGCUCACCAAGGCGACGAUCCGUAACUGGUCUGAGAGGAUGAUCAGUCACACUGGAACUGAGACACGGUCCAG
RNAcentral lists this ribosomal RNA (287 nucleotides) under Pseudomonas sp. Manf. RNAcentral's name for it is "partial 16S ribosomal RNA". It matches the Rfam family "Bacterial small subunit ribosomal RNA", at positions 46 to 334 of the family's 1533-position model. Lineage: Bacteria; Pseudomonadati; Pseudomonadota; Gammaproteobacteria; Pseudomonadales; Pseudomonadaceae. The record is from RNAcentral.